RNAcentral lists this long non-coding RNA (215 nucleotides) under Mytilus galloprovincialis (Mediterranean mussel). The record is from RNAcentral. Lineage: Eukaryota; Metazoa; Mollusca; Bivalvia; Mytilida; Mytilidae.
GACUAAAAAUAAGGCGUAUAGGUACAGUUUUCAAUUUGUUAGCGGGCAUGACAUAAAACAGCGAAUCAAAGAAUUCAACUUUAUUUAUAACUAAUAUAGGACAAUGCUGUUGAUUAAAAAAUACUCCAUUCCAGGACCUUUUGUUUUCCAAAUAAUUAAUAUUACCAAUAAUUGAUAAGUUCCAGUUCGACGGGUUCAAACAGAAAGAUUUGAAA